UCCUCGUUAGUAUAGUGGUCAGUAUCCCCGCCUAUCACGCGCGGGAGACCGGGGUUCGAUUCCCGACGGGGAG
RNAcentral lists this transfer RNA (73 nucleotides) under Ixodes scapularis (black-legged tick). RNAcentral describes it as "tRNA-Asp for anticodon AUC". It matches the Rfam family "tRNA". From Rfam's summary of the family: Transfer RNA (tRNA) molecules are approximately 80 nucleotides in length. The record is from RNAcentral. Lineage: Eukaryota; Metazoa; Arthropoda; Arachnida; Ixodida; Ixodidae.